Molecule: long non-coding RNA, 512 nt
Organism: Prosopis cineraria
Lineage: Eukaryota; Viridiplantae; Streptophyta; Magnoliopsida; Fabales; Fabaceae
Exons: 2
Source: RefSeq, a predicted model, not a curated record
CAGAUAGACAAGGCAACAGCCAAACAAGGGAAAGUUGAGUAUAGUUGUGACAGACGGUGUCGACGGAGGAACAGUCAGUGGUGUAAGUGAAGACUUGGUCAAGAAUAUGGGUCUCGGAUCGUAUUGCAUCGCUGAAUGUAAACUCAUUCUAUGGAGUAGUUGGAAAAGGAUACUCACAAUGUGAAGGUUCAAGGUAAUGACCCCCAAGGGAGGACACUUGGGGCAGGUAAUAAGGUUUGAAGGAUCAAGGUGAGGACAGUAUUGAUGCUCGCAUUUUACAAGUUGCACAUGCUGUUCAAUCGAAGAAUGCUAAGGAUCAAAUCUUGCCAAAUGUUGUCAAUGAAAGUGUUGGUGAUUUGGAUGUAAAGGAAGACAGUACUAGCUUAUGAUUUGGUUUUUUUUUUUAAGUCUCUGAAUGAAUAGGUAUUAUCAACUUAUGUUAUUUGUGUUUGCCUUUUUGGGAACAUUUGUGGUGGAGUUCUAAUUGCUUGACAAUGUAGUCAACUUCUCAA